This 69-nucleotide transfer RNA is filed under the name Pseudaspius brandtii (Pacific redfin). Its description in RNAcentral is "tRNA-Ser". Lineage: Eukaryota; Metazoa; Chordata; Actinopteri; Cypriniformes; Leuciscidae. The record is from RNAcentral.
AAGGAAGGACAGAAAUCAGUAAGUACUGCUAAUACUUAUGUACCGGGGUUAAAAUCCCCGGCUUUCUUA